RNAcentral lists this ribosomal RNA (440 nucleotides) under uncultured bacterium. RNAcentral describes it as "partial 16S ribosomal RNA". It matches the Rfam family "Bacterial small subunit ribosomal RNA", at positions 338 to 795 of the family's 1533-position model. The record is from RNAcentral.
CCUACGGGAGGCUGCAGUGGGGGAUAUUGCACAAUGGGGGAAACCCUGAUGCAGCGACGCCGCGUGGGUGAAGAAGCGCCUCGGCGCGUAAAGCCCUGUCAGCAGGGAAGAAAAUGACGGUACCUGAAGAAGAAGCCCCGGCUAACUACGUGCCAGCAGCCGCGGGAAUACGUAGGGGGCCAGCGUUAUCCGGAUUUACUGGGGGUAAAGGGGGCGCAGACGGCGAUGCAAGCCAGGAGUGAAAGCACGGGGGCCAACCCCGGGACUGCUGUUGGAACUGCGUGGCUAGAGUGCAGGAGGGGCAGGCGGAAUUCCUGGUGUAGCGGUGAAAUGCGUAGAUAUGAGGAGGAACACCGGUGGCGAAGGCGGCCUGCUGGGCUGCAACUGACGUUGAGGCCCGAAAGCGUGGGGAGCAAACAGGAUUAGAUACCCUUGUAGUC